RNAcentral lists this ribosomal RNA (487 nucleotides) under Pseudomonas sp. RNAcentral describes it as "bacterial SSU rRNA". It matches the Rfam family "Bacterial small subunit ribosomal RNA", at positions 30 to 512 of the family's 1533-position model. The record is from RNAcentral. Lineage: Bacteria; Pseudomonadati; Pseudomonadota; Gammaproteobacteria; Pseudomonadales; Pseudomonadaceae.
UUGAACGCUGGCGGCAGGCCUAACACAUGCAAGUCGAGCGGAUGACGGGAGCUUGCUCCUUGAUUCAGCGGCGGACGGGUGAGUAAUGCCUAGGAAUCUGCCUGGUAGUGGGGGACAACGUUUCGAAAGGAACGCUAAUACCGCAUACGUCCUACGGGAGAAAGCAGGGGACCUUCGGGCCUUGCGCUAUCAGAUGAGCCUAGGUCGGAUUAGCUUGUUGGUGAGGUAAUGGCUCACCAAGGCGACGAUCCGUAACUGGUCUGAGAGGAUGAUCAGUCACACUGGAACUGAGACACGGUCCAGACUCCUACGGGAGGCAGCAGUGGGGAAUAUUGGACAAUGGGCGAAAGCCUGAUCCAGCCAUGCCGCGUGUGUGAAGAAGGUCUUCGGAUUGUAAAGCACUUUAAGUGGGAGGAAGGGCAGUAAGCUAAUACCUUGCUGUUUUGACGUUACCGACAGAAUAAGCACCGGCUAACUCUGUGCCAGC